GAAAAAUUAGAGUGAUACAGAGAAAGAAUGCAAAGAGUGAGCCAAGAGUUUGAGAAACAGAGAGAGGUCUGAGAGUUGUAGAGGAGGCCGGAAGCUUGAUGCUUUGAUGAUCUAGCGAAGAAACUCUUUUUAUACCUUGAAUGGCUUGUAGUGGUUUUGCUUCAAUGGUUUUUAUUAAAUGUUUUAAUUAAAUGCAUAUGUAUUUUGUUUAUAUACUCACAUGAAUAUGUAUAUUUUGUGAAGCUGUUUUGUUAAACCUCCAUGAAAUUCUUGUUAUGGUUUUUUCUACUGAGACUUUUUGUCUCACCACCCUCCAGUUUCAGGUACCGAAAAUGAACAUGGAUUUCUAGUGUCGGGCUUUGGUGGAAGAGUCGGCGUUGCAGGAUUUAUUUUAUUUAUUUGCAAAAUUUUGUAUAUUUUUGAGGAAAUUGACUUUGUAUAAAAGAGGGCAUUUUUUUUUUUUUUUUUUUGGAUCCUGGGUGUAUUUUGAUGUAUCUGGAUUUGAAUAAAUUGAGGAUUUUAUUAGAAUUUUCAGGUCGUGACACAAUUGUUGCCCUUGACCAACCAGUAUGCUUGUCUUCCUUGCUCAUAGCAUCGUUAGGAAUCCGUCCGUGAAAUAGAGGAGCUGCCGACAGAGACCAAUGAGAACAGAGUAUAGUUCAGCGGGUUGGCAAGGCGGCCAAGGAAGGAACCGGUGAGAGGUGCAGCGAGCUUUGUGCUCGGCUAUGAGUCCGGCAGACUUGUGCGGCGAGGAUGAAGAUGAUGGCAGCAACGAGGAUCUAAGGCGGCGGACAGCGAGGGUCGGGAUUCCAGUGAGGUGCUGAACCGGCGAGAAAGAAAUGUCCAUGAGUUGAGACGAUGAGGUUCCACGAUGGCGAUGGGCUCACAGCGAGAACUGAAAUUUCUAGCCUAAUGUGGGAAUAAUAAGUGGUGGAGCAAGAACGGAAGCUUGAAGCCGUGCUGAACAAAGUGACUAUUUUGCUAUGGCGGCGCUGAAACUUUGGUCCAAAACCAGAAUAAAAUUAACAUCUUAGCAAAUGCUUAAAAGUGUAUACUAAACAUUCCUCUGCCAAACUACCUGAUAUUUGAAACUGAAUCCAAAAUUUUACUAUAAUGAUAUAAGGUAGCGACGCGAAUUUCAGGUAUUAAUUAACCAACCUUGCAGGUUUAAAAGAGUCAAAA
Cornus florida is the source of this 1182-nucleotide long non-coding RNA. RefSeq lists it as uncharacterized. The record is from RefSeq and is a predicted model, not a curated record. The transcript has 2 exons. NCBI's taxonomy places the organism in Eukaryota, Viridiplantae, Streptophyta, Magnoliopsida, Cornales, Cornaceae.